This 460-nucleotide ribosomal RNA is filed under the name uncultured bacterium. RNAcentral's name for it is "partial 16S ribosomal RNA". It matches the Rfam family "Bacterial small subunit ribosomal RNA", at positions 338 to 795 of the family's 1533-position model. The record is from RNAcentral.
CCUACGGGAGGCAGCAGUGAGGAAUAUUGGUCAAUGGACGAGAGUCUGAACCAGCCAAGUAGCGUGAAGGAUGACUGCCCUAUGGGUUGUAAACUUCUUUUAUAUGGGAAUAAAACGUUCCACGUGUGGGAUUUUGUAUGUACCAUAUGAAUAAGGAUCGGCUAAAUCCGUGCCAGCAGCCGCGGUAAUACGGAGGAUCCGAGCGUUAUCCGGAUUUAUUGGGUUUAAAGGGAGCGUAGGUGGAUUGUUAAGUCAGUUGUGAAAGUUUGCGGCUCAACCGUAAAAUUGCAGUUGAAACUGGCAGUCUUGAGUACAGUAGAGGUGGGCGGGAUUCGUGGUGUAGCGGUGAAAUGCUUAGAUAUCACGAAGAACUCCGAUUGCGAAGGCAGUUCACUGGACUGCAACUGACACUGAGGCUCGAAAGUGUGGGUAUCAAACAGGAUUAGAUACCCUAGUAGUC